Molecule: long non-coding RNA, 219 nt
Organism: Melanotaenia boesemani (Boeseman's rainbowfish)
Lineage: Eukaryota; Metazoa; Chordata; Actinopteri; Atheriniformes; Melanotaeniidae
Exons: 3
Source: RefSeq, a predicted model, not a curated record
CAAUAAUAAUAAUAAAUAACUAACUUGUUUGCUAAAGUAGCCGGCUACCUACCAGCUGUUAUUUUUCUGCCGUCGUAACUACAACCUAGAGCUAAUUAGGAUUUAGGUCACAAUACGUUUAAAAACAGGAACUAUCAUGCAUGUAAUAUCAAACAUUAAGAAUACAAAUGUAUUAAGUUACUCGAUAUCAGAAAAAAGAAACUUAACUUUAACUUAACU